Molecule: long non-coding RNA, 1096 nt
Filed under: Chelonoidis abingdonii (Abingdon island giant tortoise)
Lineage: Eukaryota; Metazoa; Chordata; Testudines; Testudinidae
Description: lncRNA (ENSCABG00000009193.1)
Source: RNAcentral
CAUCUUUUUAGGCCAGGAAGGGAAGAAUUUCACAUGCAAUUGAAAAGCUGAGAAUUUCUGGAAGCAAAAUGUAGUGAAAUAAGAUGGACUGUAGCCAGGACAGUGGGAUCAGCUCUGCUGCUUUUCUAGUGGCACUCGUUACAUUUUUCAUGACCUGGCAGAGAGGAGUUCUGAAUUUUGCCUCUGCUCUGCAUGACAGAUGCCUCCAAUGCCAUCCCUGGCCAUCAGUGCAAUUCUGAUGUCAAGCUAGAUUGUAGAGGGUGACAAUACUCUCUUGCCCAGCCCCCUACAACUCAGCAAUAGCCUCUUGCUCUUGGAAGGAAUUGCAUGCCAUACAGAAACACCAAUGCUAGUUCUGGAAGCACCUAUUUAAUUCCUGGAGCUGGUCUCAUCAAGAGGUCUCGUUCCCUCUGCUGUCCAAGGAAGUGUCAUGCAUAGGCUCCUGGAAGUUGUCCCUUUAUUGUCCAGGCCUGGAGCUAUAACAGUCCUUGGAUGGCCAGAGGUGCAGAACUGACCAGCCAGCAAACAUGGUUGAAGGGAUGCUUGAGGUGAUAGCUAACGCAGCAGAACAAAUUUCAAACAUUUUCAUUGCUUUCCUAUGUAGAAACAGUUAAAUAAGGAUCCAGAAGCAGAAAGCCAGAAAUGAAAGGCUGGCAGUGGAUCGCCAGAGGUUACAAGAUUUCACCAUUUGAGAAUUUUGAAGAUGAGAUGGGGAAAAACCUCCAAACUACCUGUCAGCUUCACUGGCACCUAGGCCAAAUCAAUUUGGAAGACUUACAUAGAAGUUUUCUCCAGACUUCUUUCCAAAGAUUUUCUUCAGAAUAAUUCAUCUUCAUUCAUUCUCUACUGAGGUAAAUGAAGAAUUCAUUCCCCAUGUUCAUUCAAUCCUGAUCUUUCUCACACUAUUCCUUCAACUGCUCUCGAUCAGGGUUAGAAAUAGACCAGUUUUUCCCCCAAAAUCUCAUUUUGAGCUAGAAAUGGACCCGCGGCUUUGCUGCUCAAGUUUAUGGUAAGUAUGAGUGCGAGUGUUGUGUUGGGACAGUUGUUAGUUUGUGCAGGUAAUAAAUGAGGGGUGUAUGCUGUGGUGAGGGGCUGU